AGCUAUAAAAGGCCUUGAAAUCAAAAAGGUAAAACGAUUCAAAAGAGAAAACUAAAGGCCUCAUUAAUGUACAAAAAAUGAAAGAAAAACAAAUAUGUGGCACAGCAACAAAUGACAACCACUGAAUUACAGGCUCCUGACUUGGGACUGGCACAUACAUACAGAAUAUGGCCCGGUUAAACAUGUUAGUGGGAUCCCAACUCGCACCCUAUUCUGGGACAUAGUGUGACAGUACAACAUAACGAAGACUAUAAAAUUCAGUUGAAAUAGGCUUAACUCAUCAGAUGGAUACAAAUAGAAAUACAUAUAACAAAAAAAUGUGGACGUGACGGGGUACUUGUACCUCCCAACAACAAAAAGACACUAAGUACAGAUCUCAGAGUACUUGCAGUUACUGAC
RNAcentral lists this long non-coding RNA (399 nucleotides) under Mytilus galloprovincialis (Mediterranean mussel). Lineage: Eukaryota; Metazoa; Mollusca; Bivalvia; Mytilida; Mytilidae. The record is from RNAcentral.